CCUACGGGGGGCAGCAGUAGGGAAUAUUGCUCAAUGGGGGAAACCCUGAAGCAGCAACGCCGCGUGGAGGAUGAAGGUUUUCGGAUUGUAAACUCCUUUUGUUAGAGAAGAUAAUGACGGUAUCUAACGAAUAAGCACCGGCUAACUCCGUGCCAGCAGCCGCGGUAAUAAGGAGGGUGCAAGCGUUACUCGGAAUCACUGGGCGUAAAGAGCGCGUAGGCGGGAUAGCAAGUCAGAUGUGAAAUCCUAUGGCUUAAACAUAGAACUGCAAUUGAAACUGUUAUUCUAGAGUAUGGGAGAGGUAGGUGGAAUUCUUGGGGUAGGGGUAAAAUUCGGAGAGAUUAAGAGGAAUACUCAUUGCGAAGGGGACCUGCUAGAACAUAAAUGACGCUGAUGGGCGAAAGAGUGGGGGGCAAACAGGAUUAGAUUACCCGAGUAGUC
RNAcentral lists this ribosomal RNA (441 nucleotides) under uncultured bacterium. Its description in RNAcentral is "partial 16S ribosomal RNA". It matches the Rfam family "Bacterial small subunit ribosomal RNA", at positions 338 to 795 of the family's 1533-position model. The record is from RNAcentral.